This 255-nucleotide ribosomal RNA is filed under the name uncultured bacterium. RNAcentral's name for it is "partial 16S ribosomal RNA". It matches the Rfam family "Bacterial small subunit ribosomal RNA", at positions 524 to 776 of the family's 1533-position model. The record is from RNAcentral.
UACGGGGGGGACAAGUGUUCUUCAAUCAGACUGGGCGUACAGCGUCUGUAGGUGGAGAGGAGUGUGUUUAAAGUGAAAAAUUACCUAAGUAAGGGUAAAAAGUCUUUAAAGACUUCUUUUCUAGAGUUUUGUAAAGGUUUGCUUUAUUACUCCAAGAGUGUUAAAAUGCUUAGACUGGAGUAGGAGGGCAUGUGGCGAAGGCGGCAAACUAGGCAAAACUGACACUCAAGGACUAAAGCGUGGGGAGCGAUCGGG